GGGGAUCUACUGCAAAACUGAAUUGUAAACUUCUAUUUUCUUUUGUUUAGUUUUCUUUUGUUUAGUUUUUAUAAUACAGUUUGUCUUGCACAACCUUGGCAUGGAUACAGGAGAAAACGGACCCCACUCUAGAAUUUAGGCCUGCUCAGAGAUAGUAGAUGACAAUAUCACAUGCAAAAGUUACUGUGUUUAUACUUUGACCAUAGAUAUUGUAAUAUCCUGUCAGUCCAUAACACAGUGAUGCCUUUGCUAGCAACAAGACAUAAGCUUACUAUUGAGUUUGCAAGCCUCAGAGCUGAAGCUUGCUCCCUCUGAAGAUGUCAGGCUUUCUCUGUUUGAGUUUGUCUUCACCUGCUUGGAGCUUUUUUACUUGAUUUAACUCUAAUAACAAUUUUUCUUCUGAAUUCACGAGUCACUGCAGCCAGUUAUUUUACCUCCCUUAUCUUUGUAUGGUACAACCAUAAUUUCAUAGAGAGUAAUAAGUUGUUAUUCUGUAUAGAAUGAGACAUUUAUGACCAACAUAAUGAUAUAGAGAUAUACAGACCUGCCAGUUAGCAGAUGUCUCUUAAGAUGUGAGGAGAGUGAGUACAGUGUAGAGGAGCACAGACAGGGGAUGAUAAGACAUGGGGCACAGACUGACACUGCUUACAGCUACAAACAACUCAUCAGCGGUUGGAUAAAAUGGUGUAGAGCUGCAGCUGCACAAAAUGUUUUUUGAAGAGUAACAAAGAAAACAAAGAAAUAACAUCUAACAGAUGUAAAAUGUAGUUAACAUGGCACUAGUAUGGACCUGUAAGCAAAUAGAGAAAAAGAUGUAAAGAAAGUCUUACCAAACAUACAGAAGUGACUCCAAGUGGAUUCUAGGUGAGGAAGAAGCCAUCACAUUCAUGGAAGUCAUCAAAAUUGUAUUACUACCUGUGAAGUACACCAGAUGUCGACAUCCCAUCGUAGUCCCUGGCACCAAUCAGACUGAAGUGUCCCACUUUAGGACCACUCAGAGAAGCAGGCAAAGGGUGAACAUAACCCUAGGAAAAGAGUGGAAACUAAAAGGCGCUUGUAUGUUGACCUGUCUGUGGAUCAACUCCUUGAAGAAAGUAUUGGUUCCUCCACUUCUUGGGAAGCUUAACUGCAGUGGAGUGAGACUUGAAGUCUGCUGGAUGGCUUUGGAGUCACCAACUAAUCUCUGAGGUGAACUGAGAGAUCAAUUGAUGCUGUGAAAUUGAAAACCACAUAAAAGAAAGCUUCUUGUUCUUUUAUGGAGACAACAAAGCAAAAAAUGAAUAAUAACUGCCCUGUCCAGUAGGUUCUUUAAAAAAAUGUCAACUACUUCAAUACUUCUGGUGGAUAUUAACUAAUGUUUUAAAAGCUCUAGCAUUUGGAGACAGUUAUGUGAAACCGAGGAUCUUAUUUCAGUGCUCCACAUUCUUUACUGUUGUUAGUAUGUGUAUAUAAAUUUACGCAAAAUCCUCAAAAAUUAACAUCUAAUCUUGAAUACACCCUGUUUCAUUGAGUAUAGAAGAUAUUUACUUCAUAUAAUGUUUUUGCUUUUUGUGAUAAGUUUACAAUGUGCCCAUAUUUUUCCAUAUGAUUCACAGAACUGGGCACAAUACUCCAGCUAGGAGCUUACAAACAGUAGGAAGUAUGGACAGUUAUGUAAAAGGCAUUCAUAAUCUUCAUCUGUAACUUUCUUUCGAUGAAAGAAAUGUAUAACCUUCUACAUAAGUGUUAAAACUCCUUUUUUUUUUUUUUUAUGGGAAAACUAUCUUUAAGAGUGUCCUUAAUGAAAAUAUUAACAGAACAGGUAUUUGUAGUAAAAAAUAAAAAAAAACAAAACAAAACAUCGUUAAAAACACUGUUCCUGUUCUGUGUGUCUAAAACAUCUUAUUUUUUGUCUUUUAAUUUGUAGAAAAAAAUGGCUUCUUACAAUGAAGAAAAGCGGAAAUGAGUAUAAGGAACCUACAUGUAGAGUAAAAAGAAUUCUACUAAGUGACUAAUACAAAUAACUUUUCCUGGUCCAUCUGACCUCAAUAGUAUCUAAAAAUAGUUAGACAUAUGAAUUUUGGUAGCUCGAGUAGUAACAUUUUCUUGUGAUGGCUUAAUAUCAGAACAGAGGAUUAAACAAUCUAGAUUCUUAUGUCAUUCAUCCUUAUCAUGAAUCUGUAAGUUUAAGUAAUCCUAAAUGGAUAUUUAUAAAGUGAUUUUUCCAGAUGAAUGCACAAGUCUUUUGUAUGGUAAUGAAAUAUGACAAGAGCUAGUCUGAACAGAGCACAUUUCUGAGAUAAAAACUAUAAACCUCUGCAGGUAGUCCUUGCAGUCACUCUGAAAAAAGCAUGCCUGUUAUUAAACAACAAUUCUUCUCAAUUACCAGUAGAGCGAAUUUGUGCUGUAGUGUACUUGAGAGGUAUUACUGUAGGAAAUUGUUCAAAUAUAAUCAAAAGGAAGGUGAUAAAAAAUGUACUUAUGUGUCAUGGUCACAUGUAAGAGGUGGAAGAGCAGGGUAGAACAGUGUGGUGGAAGAGGUGGUAAUUGACAUGAUGGCAUCUAGGAAGUAAUGGUCUUAUCUCUUCCACAAAACUCAGGGUAAGCACCAUUUUCCAAACUCUGUUACAACGGAAUAUACUUCUUCUGUUAGAAGGUAUACAGGAAACUGAAGGAAAAUUAUAUAUUUUUGCUCGUUAAAGUUUUUACCACCAAUCUCUUCAGUUUUUGGAGACAGUCAUGAGAUAGGAGAGAAGAGAUUGAAAUGAGGAAGUGGGAUCUUGUCUCAAUCAUCUGGAGAAAACGAUAUCCAAAAGCAUAUGGUCAGUUUGAGAAUCUGAUCCAGACUAUCUAUUUAUGUCCUUUUCUGUUUGAAAAUUUGAAAUGAAAGUACUUAUUUGAACAGUGUCUUUUUAUUACCUGAUUGUUAGAAAAUUUAGUAGACUAAUGCUGAUAGGUCAUGUAAGUGGUGGCAAUUAUAUCAAAUGUGUGUGUGCUAGCAUCAGUAAAGCAAUUGAUUGCAUUAUUACCGUCUAAAUUUGUAAAUAUUUUACCAUCAUAGUUGAAUUUUUAAUGGUAACUUCUGUUAUCUUUCCUAUUUCCCAGUGUAA
Long non-coding RNA from Cuculus canorus (common cuckoo), 3089 nucleotides. RefSeq lists it as uncharacterized. NCBI's taxonomy places the organism in Eukaryota, Metazoa, Chordata, Aves, Cuculiformes, Cuculidae. The transcript is spliced from 3 exons. The record is from RefSeq and is a predicted model, not a curated record.